GGUGGUAGAAGGAAGAGUACUUUCCUAGGGUCAUGAUGAAGUCCAGUGGAGUGUGUUGGGGUAAGAAACAAUGAAAUGGCUGCCCUGGGUGCCCUCCUUCAGUGGAAGAUCUGGGAGGAGAAAUGACUUAACAACUUAACUUUCAGAUCCUGAAUGCAGUACUAGCUGAAUAUGUACUCUGCUCAGAUGAGAACAAGGAUUUUCUUGGAAGAGCUGGCUUAUUGUUUGAUUCAGACAAAGAGUGCCUUAUCUGGGCCAACUAUACUGAACUCAAGUACAUAUUGGGAAAAUUUUGAAGACUCUCACCUUCAUCACCUGCCAUUUAACCAUGAGGGAAAAGAAAAGGAAAGGAAAAAAGAAAUCAGAAUUCAUUCCGGAACAAAUAACUUCAGGCAAGAGGAAACAAAAGUUCAAAAAUCUUGCAGACCUCAGCAAAAAGGCCUCUGAGGAAAUGACAUGACUACAUUAUAUCCUGGACAAAACCAAGUCAACAUUCCCUUGGCUUUAUAAUUACUGGAUAGACAAUUAUUUACAGGUGGGAAAAAAGAAAGAAAAACUCAAGUGUACGUAUCUGUUAUCAGAUGAGAAGGUGCUUUGAGCACUGAUAUAAAAACUAAUUCUCAGACUUGGAUAUUUUUUAAUGACAAAAUAUUUCUAUGUGGACAGUAUCACCUCAAAAAACUUGUAUGUGUGACAGAGUGUGUGCCAGGGUGACAUGAGAGCUCCACCCUACCCUCCCCACCUCCCCACCAGAGCCCAGUCAACCACUGAAUAGAUCCUUCUGUGAGCUGGAGCACAGGGACAAACCAUUCUAUGUCAAAGACUUGCCAAGGCACUGCACUGACUUGAACUCCAAUAAGAAAAUUUCAAAUCCGCCCUGUUGGUUGCCAGUAAACGAGGAUUUCUGAGAGAGUGGAAC
This 919-nucleotide long non-coding RNA is filed under the name Vombatus ursinus (common wombat). RNAcentral's name for it is "lncRNA (ENSVURG00010005417.1)". Lineage: Eukaryota; Metazoa; Chordata; Mammalia; Diprotodontia; Vombatidae. The record is from RNAcentral.